AUGAUGAUGCACCCCCCAUGGUUCCAUCAAGAUGAAGAUGAAGAUAGUCACAAGUUGAUCUUUACAACAUCACCUACACCACAUGGGUGGAACUACAAAGGUAAUAACAUAGGUGAUGGUACUUUGCUUGUCCCUCCGGUGGACAUGGAUUGCUUGCAUGAUAUUGAUGAUCAUAUUGCUAUGUUACCUGCUAGUUUUCCUUCUACAUGCUUUGAUUUUCUAACCGUUUAUGAUGAGUGUGAUGAUGGGUAUGUGAGGACAAGUAGUUCCGACCAUGCUACAUACGACUUCUUGUGCCAAUUUCAUAUGACAUAUCAUGUUUGA
Molecule: ribosomal RNA, 324 nt
Filed under: Triticum aestivum (bread wheat)
Lineage: Eukaryota; Viridiplantae; Streptophyta; Magnoliopsida; Poales; Poaceae
Description: partial small subunit ribosomal RNA
Source: RNAcentral